UGCCAGCAGCCGCGGUAAGACAGAGGGUGCAAACGUUGCUCGGAAUUACUGGGCGUAAAGCGCGUGUAGGCGGCCAAUUAAGUCUGAUGUGAAAUCCCGGGGCUCAACCCCGGAAGUGCAUUGGAUACUGGUUGGCUAGAGAACGAGAGGGGGAAGCGGAAUUCCUGGUGUAGGGGUGAAAUCCGUAGAUAUCAGGAGGAACACCGGAGGCGAAGGCGGCUUCCUGGCUCGUUACUGACGCUGAGACGCGAAAGCGUGGGGAGCAAACAGGAUUAGAUA
This 279-nucleotide ribosomal RNA is filed under the name uncultured bacterium. RNAcentral describes it as "partial 16S ribosomal RNA". It matches the Rfam family "Bacterial small subunit ribosomal RNA", at positions 506 to 784 of the family's 1533-position model. The record is from RNAcentral.